GAAAACAGAUCUUCUUCUCUUCUUCUUCCUCUCUAAGAACUUAGGUUCAGAUCUCAUUUGCAUGGCUCAAUUUCACACCUCCUCCUCCCAACUCAUGCAAAUGGGAUGACAUCCUUUGACAACAAUCCCGUUCAAAGCAUUAAAAAAUACCCUAAAGAAUAAUUUAGGUACACAUGAAAAAUUCAACAAUCACUAUAUGGAAUAUUGAAUCUUGCAAAACUAGCUAUUCAGACGACAUUCCUUUGGUGUUUGGUGUGGUGCACGGUGCACCAAAAUACGGGAAGGACAAAUCACAUGCAGUAAGCGUAAUCACAGCAACAGAAUUCGCUGUUUUUAUGUCAAUGUUCUCACAACCAUUUAUACGAUUGUUUCCACCAAAUUAACAGCUGUUUAACAAAGUAGAAAACACCACAGAGCAUGCGGCCAAGUGAUUCAUUCUCAGCAGUUUGGCCACAAUAAUACGCCGAUGGACCACAAGUCAGGACCAACUUGCAACGUUAGGUGCUUGCGGAUACGAUUGGUUUGGAGGAGGAUUCUAGAAGAAAGGCCCCGGUGAGUUGAUUGCGGAAUGAGAUUUUAGAGUCGGUCCCAGCGGCGGUUCAUAGAUUGUUCGGGUCGGCUAUUGAGUGGAGACUUGAGGUACAGCUGCUCGGCGUCCGCAACCCCUAAAGUCCCCUUUUUCUUUAACUUAGCUGUGUACUUUUCCUCAGACACUUUUAUUUUUAUUCGGACCUUUAUUUGUACUAUUCUAGUAGCUCGUGCACUUGUGAUACCAGAUUCGGGAUUGUAUUAGAUAUUUCAGUUGUUAUGGUUUUUCGCACUUUA
This is a long non-coding RNA of Nicotiana attenuata, 825 nucleotides long. RefSeq lists it as uncharacterized. The transcript has 3 exons. The record is from RefSeq and is a predicted model, not a curated record. NCBI's taxonomy places the organism in Eukaryota, Viridiplantae, Streptophyta, Magnoliopsida, Solanales, Solanaceae.